CAACUUUGAAAGAUCAAAUCAGAAAAGAAAGAUGGAAGUAAUCUUGGAGAUAGGAGUUUGGUGUUGUUGUCGAUGAUUCCCUGCAAGAAGAUACCAAAGAUAACUGAUCAACCCAAUCCCUCACAGUCGCAGACCUCAACAGAUCCUUCUGCUACUAAACAAAUUCAUCACGACGGGGAAAUUGGCGAGAGCAACCGCAGGGUGCCCAUUGUUGCCACUGUAAAGGACAGGGAUGAUGAUGGAGGCAGCAACAGUGAAACAAAGGCAAAAGCUGUGGAGAUUUAAAACCAGGUAUCACCAUUUCUCUAAUAUGUAGCCAUAAGGUGUGGUAAUUUCCAGUUUGAAUAAUGUGAACAUUUACGCUGAGUUGGGCUGCAAAUGACAAAACAAUUCUUGAGACUGAAUUGUGGGAUCUCUAUUGCAGUACGAGUAGCUUCUUCGUUCUUUUCUCUAUAUAACAGUAGCUUUUGUUUCCGUUUUGUGUAUUCAGAAGGAGCCUAUGCCCAAAUAUAGAUAAGGGUCAACAGGCUCAAUUAGCCUAUGUCCAAAAAUUCUACUACUUUGCCCCUCGCGGAGGAUUGUCUACAUUCACGGGCCAUAAGAACUCUAUCAAAGGCUGGGUAGAGGGGUUUUUAGUGGUGGAGUUAAAGAAAAGACGGGGUUGGCUUGAGAGUUUGAUCUCCCUUGGGAAGCCCUGGGAGAAUGUCUCUCUAGGUUGCAACGACCUACCAGCUGAGCCUUACCGAUCAGUCGGAUUCCUUCAGCUGACUUCUGUGGAUAAGAAGUAUGACGUCGAAAAGUGCUUGUACGCGUCUAACCUUCGGAAUAUUAAGGACGUGGGUAUCUUAUUUUAUCUGCCUGUGUUAAUUUUGUCUUUAUGACGCUUUGCUGAAAAUAGUUCUAACCUGUCUUAUUUUUGUAGCUCUUGCAGCUUCUUUAGUGAAAAUGGACCAGAAAAAAGGGUUUUACAAGGGUUCUGUGAAUUUAGCCAAAAAGUUUCGAAAAAAGGGUUUUAUAAGGGUUCUGUGAAUUUAGCCAAAAAGUUUCCUCUGUGAGGAGGGUGUUUCUCCUUUUAUCCCUCUCCUUUUAUCCCUCUCCUUUUAUCCCUUAGUGGCGUAUAAUGAGGUUUUCACCAUUGGGUCACGUGUCUCUGCUAUACUGAUAUGGACGUACGGAAAGAUCAGAUUCCUGAUACAGGCGUAACGGCCUCUGAUUCUCUCCGGGCGUACAUGCUGAGGGACCCACAAGAUGAAUGGGUCGGUUUCUUUCUUGGCUCCGAGCUGGAGAAACGUAUGAGUUGGGAGGGCCUGAUUGAGAAAUUCAGAUGGAACUCUGUCUUAAAGCAGAACGGGCUGGAACUGGUUUACACGGGAGACUUGAGAGCUUCCAGAUAAUGGGCUAUUGUCAUGAGUCUGACUCCAGACUGGAAUGAAAAAAUCCAAACAGUCAUCACAUUUAUUUGAGUGGUUACUAAUAUAUGAAAUGAUAAAUAAACUUUACCUCCAUUUAGUUCUGCAAUUUCAAAAUAUAAAUAUUCAGUUUAUGCAAUUUUAAGAUUUAUUUUCUCGAAUUUUAAAAUCACCCAUAUUCAAUCAUAUACAAUUCAAAAAUUAUAGUUAUUUGGUUAGAAGCUAAAUAGUUGACAUUAAAAAGAUAGAUAUUAAUUAAUGUAUUCUUAAAAAUAGAAAGAUUAAAUAUUUAAAAAUAUAAAAAAUUUUACCAAUUAAUUUUUUAAUUUUAUAAAAUACAUUAAAAAUUUGUUAUUUAAUUUUUUUUCAUUAAUUUUAACGGUUAAAUAUUAUAAAAAAAUUUAAAAUAUUUUUAAUAUAAAAAAAUUAAUUAAAAAAUUUUAAAAAUUAUUUAAUAAAUUGUUUAAAAUUAUAUUGAAUAGUAAAUUUUUUAAUUAAUUAAUUUUUUUAUAUAUAAAAAUUAAAUAAUAAUUAUGAGAUGGGAGUAAUUAAUAUUUAGUAUAGGUUAAAAAAACAACAGCUCCACAGAUAGUGGCGGCUGGUACGACUGACUGACCUGUGAUCCUGAUCGUGAAACGUGUAAUCAGACAAAAGGAAAGCGAAAGCGACACAUUAUGCGGGGCUUGGAGUUGGCGUUGCGUAAUGGGCCCUCUCUACAUCCUCCGUUUUGAUUCUGUCGGCCAUUAUUUUCCCAAGCAAUAUUUGUUAUUAAAUACGUUUCUUAAUCAUAUGAUUAUGAUUUGAUUUUGCCUUCACUCUCUUUUGGUCCUUUAUCUUGGCUUUCUAUUUGGAAUGAUUUUCCAUUUCUUUCUAAGAUUAAUAUUAACAUAUUCAAAAAAAUCAUUUUAUUUACUUAUUUCUUGGUGGUAAAAGCACACCACAAACGUCACACUUGGCAAGAAUCUAAUCUUGAAACCUUUAUAAAAUUUUAGAUAAUCUUUAACUUGAAGACUCAAUUUCAAAAUCUCUCCACCCUCGGAAACGAAUAUUUUUGUUCUCUGAUAUGAUAUGCAUAUGCAGUAGUAUACUGAACCAAAUGACGAGCCCACAACAAAACCGAACAAACAAUGUAUAUUUACGAUGCCAUUUGAGACAGGUAGACAGGAAAAGAUAUUCACAAGAAGAUUUACAAGUUGAAAUUUGUUGCAAGUUUCAGGCAAUGACUUUAAGAUCAACUGCUGAUUGACCUAAAAACCUAAACUCUAUGCAAACUAAGCCAAACUAUACCAACAUUUACACAAGCUGACUGACGGAGCCUAGUUUAGCUAAUGACUUGCUCAAGAAUAAGAUUUUAUUAAACCCAAGUUGUAAAGGAACCUCUCUGAUCUAGAUCGAAACAGAUUACCAAAUGAGAAUCUCCUGUGUUCCUGAAGAGGAGUUGAUUGAGCAUCCUCAUUCACGCGGAGUAUAGUCAGUCCAAUCUCUUUUCUAACUACUUCAAUUGUUUCACUCUUCACUGGAUGUCCUGAUACAUCAGUCACAUAGAAAACGUUUACAGCCUGGGAACCCCUGGUCGUAACCUCUGCUUGAGUCACUGAGAGACCAUUUUCUCUAAAUAUGCGAGUCACCUCAGACAAUAGGCCAACCCUGUCUUCACUGCAAAGUUCAAGUCUUAUACCCUGCAUUUUGAAGAGUCGAGAACAUGAAGCGUGAAUCAUAGAAAAUCGGAGACUAACAUCAAAGUCGAACUAUGCAAAUGUCUGUACCUCAGGAAUUCUCCUUUUAAUAGCUGCCUCUAAACAGUGGAUUAGCCUUUGCCUCUCUGCUUCAGAACUAACAGGGGAACCGUCCAUAUGCCUGAUAUAAUAUUCCUAGCCCACAAGAAGAAAUGAGAUCCUAUGCAGCAAUUGUUUUAUCAAAUAGGGUACAAUAAUGAGAAAUUAAUAAGCAGUAAAAAUAACCCGUGAUUGAGUAAGAAGCUCAACUACAACAAACACAUUGGUUUCAAGAUAAUGAGAAUCUUAGAGAAUGAAUUUGACUUUUGGAAGAAAAGAUUUUCAACUUGAAGUAAAUUAUCCCAAAUAUUAAAAAAAAAAAAAGCAUGUUGAUGGAAUUAAGCAAAACCUGAUAAGCCUCUGGCCCUUCAGCUAUGACAGUUGCAUGAUAUACAACAUAUUGCAUAUCUGUUAAUGUGCAGACAGCAUCAAAGAGUAGCUUAGGGUGGUCAGGGCACCUCAAAUUCACAACAGUGUAUCCCUUAUCUGCACAAUUUUCCACUGUUACAAGGGGUUUGCUCCGUUCACUUGCUGACUCACAAUCUGCAUCAUCCAUGUCAUAGUCACGAUCAGCAUACAUCAUCUGGUGCAACCUCCUUUCCUUGUGAGUGGAACCCACUGAUACAGCUGUAUUUGCACUCCAUUUAUCUCUAUCUCCUUUCAGGACAUAUAGGAGGAGCUGUUUGAUCUCAGUGAGCCUAUCAGGAUGAUCAAUAGGCAGUCCUGUAGCUUCAUCAGUUAUGUAAACAACUGAUGCCAUUCGUGAAUUGUGGGUCCAGACUUCUGCAGCCACCACGUUGCAUUUGAGGUCAGUAAGAACAG
RNAcentral lists this long non-coding RNA (4006 nucleotides) under Manihot esculenta (cassava). Its description in RNAcentral is "long non-coding RNA (MESC_LNC007617)". The record is from RNAcentral. Lineage: Eukaryota; Viridiplantae; Streptophyta; Magnoliopsida; Malpighiales; Euphorbiaceae.